AUUGAUCUGUCAUUUAUUAUAUACAUUUGUAGUACAUACAAAUUAUGAAAUUUGUGUGUAUCUGUGUUAUGACGGAUACAUCUUAAUAUUUUUCAUCUCUUUCUGACAGAAAUACGAUUUACGGCCUUAGCAAUGACCGGAAUAGCUUUAUUUAUUGUUAUUGGACUGAGUGUGGCCCUCAUAUGGAAAAGGCAAGUAACUGUUUAUGAUAUUCUCAAUUUCCUCGAAAUAUUGUUAAAGUAAAACAGCUGCAAACAGAACAAAACAUACUUUGAAAAAAAUAAGAAAAUUUAAAACUAAUUUAAACAAUAUGACAAUUAUAACACUACGUAAGAAUGUACUCUUGGCAUGACAGUAAGAAUGUCACCGUCUCUUGGUUAUGGUUCCUAUGAAAAAAAUGUAAGAAUACAAGGUCAUGUUAUCAUACACUAUUUUGUACCAAUAUUUCAUCUUUUUAAAAUCACUCAAGGACAGACUAAUGCGAACUUUCCCACGGCAUUUCGUAAAAUAGGAAAACACUGUAACCCAUCCCCUCCCCCCACCCCUGGUUCCAAACAAUAAGCCAGUUCUCAACGAUGGAAGUUCUAUAUUCAAAGUUAGACCACACCCAAUUUUACGUUAACACAAACAUAGAAUAAAACAUCGUAAUGCAUUGACUAGAUUUUCAUAUUUAGAGUAGUGAGACAUAUUCCAAAGUAAAGACAUUACUGUACCUAGCUAGAUAUAAUUAAAAAGGGUUGGGAUGACUACUUUUACUCUGCUCGGUGAAAAGGGAGUCAUGCACAUAGUCAUAUAAUAUCAAAAUCUUACUUUUUAGAAAUUUUUAACGGGUGCAACAUGUGGAGCAGGGUAUGCUCAAUCUUUUGAAUAUCUAUUCCACAACUGUUGAGAAGAAAUAUUACAAACAUGUGCUGCAUGAUUUCACAUUUGACUACUUCAUUUAUAAACUUAUUGAUGAACUUGUGCUAGUUUCAUUUUCAUCAUAUAUAAUAUGUUGUGGCAUUUUAAGAAGUCUAAUGUAUUGUUAAUGGCAGACUUUUGACUGGCGCUUUAUAUAUUGUACCUAUUUAAUUACAGUAUUACUAUAUUUGUUUUCUGUCUCUCUUUACAGAAAGGAACGGCAACCUGUAAAACACAGCAAAACAAACGGAAUGUCGAUGAAUAACAUUCCAAAGACACAUAUUCCAAAUAGAGUCGACAUACAGAAUGACAAAAGUUUCAGUUCAAUGAAUAAUUUACCAAAGCACGUGGAUUCUCAGUGAUGAAUAUUUCAGAGCAGUAUAAACUCUCAAUAAAUAGAUCGCCAGACAAAUGGAAAUCAUUGGACAAAGAUCUUCCAAAUAUUCAUAGAAUAAAAACAGAUCAUUUAGCUUGGAAUGCUGUAAAUACUCUAUGAAAAGUAAACUGGACGGACCAUCACACAAAGGUUGUACUUGUGCUGUGUUGCCUUUUCAAAAAAUGUGUUUUAUAUGACAUAUUGACAUUUUAUUUAUUUAUUUGUGUACAUGUAUUAUUAAACGUCAAACGGUUCUAAAAUUAUACUGUUACAUUCAUUAGAAGCCAUCUUCUUAUUGAAUUGACAAAAAAAAAUCAAAAUACAGCUCAACCCACCAAUGUAACUAUGAACUAAUAAUGAUAAAAACCUAAAACAUGAUACGAAACAAGUACUCUUAUGACUCUUAUUGGCUCCAUGGAUUUUGUUUUAUUCUAUAGUGACUUAUAGUAAUGCCUAACAUUUAGGAACUGUAAAAAAAAAAAUCCAACCAGGAAUACUUUUUAUUCAGUAAUGCAUUCAAAUGGAGCUAAGUUGAUUUUUUUUUUAAUUUAUUUUGUUCGAGUACCAUAUUGACUUGAAAGUUUCUUGAAUCAGUUUGUAUCACCCUUGUUUUGGGUGGAGAUCGUGUUGCCCAGUCGUAAAUUUCUAUGUUGUGUUUGGUAUGCUGUUGUUUGUCAUUUGGUCUUAAUAUAUCUGCGUUGCCGUUUAUUUUUUACCUAUGAUUUUGAAUGUCCUUUUGGACAGACCUGAUUCUUAUAUGUCCGUAUAGAUUCAC
RNAcentral lists this long non-coding RNA (2051 nucleotides) under Mytilus galloprovincialis (Mediterranean mussel). Lineage: Eukaryota; Metazoa; Mollusca; Bivalvia; Mytilida; Mytilidae. The record is from RNAcentral.